GAUACAAAUGUGUGAAAGUUGCCGAGGAAACUGAGCGAAACCAUUUUCUGAGGAGAAACGGAAGUGGAAGACUGAAAAAGGAGGACGAGAAGGAAGUGAAUACUGGGCGAAGAGUACGAGGACAGGGAAGAAAAUAAAUUAAAAUGGCUAAAAUUAUUCUAAAAUAAAUACAAGGACUGAGUACAGAGCUUCAACAUGUUCGCUACCAGUCUUCCCAUCACCUCUCCCUCAGUGUUUCAGUGUGCAACAAACUAGCUUAGCAACCUACCCGGCCAGUGACUACGGACGGAUGUACCCACACUCGACCAUAACACACGUACCCUACGGACGGGGUAAGUGAGAGAUGAUGCCAGUAUAUGAGGAAGAAGCUACUCCAGCACGUUCAUAAGAAGGUGCGUCUGUCUAUUUUCAUGACUGAAGACCAAGUUAAACGUCUGCGUCUAUCGUUUUCGUAACUCAAGAAUAAGUUAUCAGUUUUGCUGUUGUUUUUGUCCUCGGUGCUGUUGUUUCUUCACUCGUUUGUUGCUAUUAAUGUUAUUUUUUCUUGUAAAGGUUCUUUACUAUUGCCACCUUCUUAUCUGUUCUUAUUUGGUAAUUAAUGCCUUUGACUCGGGUACGAAUUGUCAGAAUUGAAGUUUUUUUUUUUUUUUUUUUUGUGA
Molecule: long non-coding RNA, 659 nt
Organism: Cherax quadricarinatus
Lineage: Eukaryota; Metazoa; Arthropoda; Malacostraca; Decapoda; Parastacidae
Source: RefSeq, a predicted model, not a curated record